CCCUUAGAUGUUCGGAGCUGCACGCGCGCUACACUGAAGGAAGCAGCGUGUUAGAGUACCUGGCUCGCAAGAGUCGGGUAAUCCGGUGAAUGUCCUUCGUGAUUGGGAUAGGCACUUGUAAUUAUUUGCCUUGAACGAGGAAUACCUAGUAAGUGCGAGUCAUCAGCUUGCGCUGACUACGUCCCUGCCCCUUGUACACACCGCCCGUCGCUGCCCGGAACUGAGCCGUUUCGAGAAAGUCGGGGACCGACGACUCGUCGGUGCGCAAGCACUUCUUGUCGACGGAAACCAGUUUGAUCGGUACGGCUUGAACCGGGCAAAAGUCGUAACA
Molecule: ribosomal RNA, 331 nt
Filed under: uncultured eukaryote
Lineage: Eukaryota
Description: partial 18S ribosomal RNA
Rfam family: Eukaryotic small subunit ribosomal RNA
Source: RNAcentral